GAGGGGGGGAUUAGAGUUUCUGUUUGUGCGUUUGAGUGUGCAUUCACGUGUGUUUGCUUGCAUGUUGCGUGUAAACAUCUUGAAGGUACAGAGGGAUGAACGCGUAGACGCUAAUAGUGCUCACCUGUUCCUGAAGCCGGCCAACAUGCAAAUGCUGGAGACGUGUAGGGUGGUUCUUGCUAAAUGGGAAGCCUGAUUCGUAGACAUGUGAAAAGCCUACUUACACAUUUCUGACUGAUUUCUCUCAUUAUUUCAGCCUCAUCCUCGGAUGCUUCGCAUUAGCGUUGCAGGCAAACGCCCCCCAGAGCACGUAAUGACUGUUCGGUAUUUGCUGAUGUUUUCUUUCUGACAAUUUCAAAGCAAUGUUGGAAAUUUACGAGAUCUUUUAGCAGCCUCCUCACAUUCGCAUGCGUGUGCAGAUGUGCACGAACAUCCGCUCAAUUGAUUUUCUGCUUUUGUGUUUUCUGUAUGCGUGUUUCUCGAUAUUUGUUAAUUUCAUAUGUAUUUAAUUUGCCACAUGCACCACACACUCAUGCAUACAAACUCACACCCAUUAGUCAUUAUUUUGCGGUAUGAAUUGACGGAGCGCUGCUGAAAUCCUUCCUAAACUUCUCUGGUGUGAUGCUGUUGAGCUUGUUGUGCACCAGACUGUUGUCAGUAUUUGCCUGCUUGUUAGGAUGCAGCCAGUUGACUGGGAGUAGUGGUCCUGGGCCCGAGCCGACGUCGCUCCCCUCCUUGCCCAUAAUAGAUCUGCAGGCUCUCGGGGAGGGGUGAGGGUGGAGUGGGGGGGGGGCACCUGGCCGCCCUCCCUGCCAUCUCUGGCCGGAUCGAUCGCAGAGGCCAUCCCAGCGCGGGAGGGGACCCGGGGUCGUCUUCAAAGGCCUCCUGCCCACUUCCUGCCACCUGGUGUUCCAUUUUGGACAACGGGUGCAUUUCGUCCCCGCUCCCUCCGCCCUCCGUUGCCCUUCUGCAAACGGGUUAAGGACAUGGAGCCGGUUCAGCUCCACCCUGUGAUCUCCUGCAGCCUCCUCCCCAGUCGCCCACACGGGGAGAGAAGAUCUGCUAUGGAAUGAAUAUCUCCAUCUCUCGUUCCCUGUUCCCUGAACAGUAACAAAUGGCAGGACUAUCGAACACACAUUUCAUCUCCACGAGGGCUGUCGGACAAUUAGCUCCAAAAAUACAUAUUAAUCAAUCGAGAUUUUUUUUUUAAUCUGUUCAUCAAGCUCAGCCAUUUUUUUCUCCCUCCAGUACAUUAGCAGAUCUCAGUAUGUCCGCUACUCUUGUGAACGGGGAUGAGAAGGAGACGGAGGGAGAGGAAAUAAAGGUCUGAUGAGUUUGGCAAAGAGAGGAUGGAGGCUGAGACAGAUGGCAUGAAGUCUGCAGCACUCUGGCGUGCCUCGCCUGGUGCUAAAAUCCUCCUCUCUCACAUUCCAACAAAUCCUACCAGGAGGCUGGGGAGUCUGUCACACCACUCCAAGGAUCCGCAUGCCCGUCCCCCCCCUUUCCGUCACCCUGGCCCAACCGAGCCUCUGACCGCUCCGUAUCCCAUUUUAUCCUCGCAUAUGCACACGCGGACAUGUAUAGAGGUCGAUCGUGACGGGACUGGUACGAUAAGAGGCGCCGCCUGACUGCUCUCGCCGAGCAGGAACCGAGGGGACUUCAUUGAGAGAGGUGGCCUUUGCCGUCACUCCGGUUUAAGGAAUCGUACUCAGUAAACACUGGGCCAGAAUCCAGUUGUAUCAGUGGAAGAAGACAUAAGAAGCUUUCUGAUUAGUUUCACCACAGCCUGCAGCCGACUAUGGUCUUGAACAGAAACGCUGUAUCUCAAUCCAAACACGCACCGCUCAGAAGCAUGUUGCAAGACUCCCUGUGGACCUUACAACACAAAAUGGACAGUAAGUGUAACUGUGAUUACACAUUGCGCAAGACCAACAGCUGGAUCACGGGCUCCACGCGGCAGCUGCGUCUCCAAACACGGCACAAUGAUAAAUCCUUUGAAUAUCUGAAGCGUGCUUUCUUUUGCCGGCUCAUAGUGGUUCAUCUAAUAAACACAAUUUAAUUUAUUUUACACUAUGCUCCCUCCCCAUGUCUCUUUCUCGCAGUCUUUCUGCCAGCCUUCUGUUUGUUCUAAUGAAUGACUUCUGAGAUGAGAUGCUGCUGUGAGGAGGUCACGGGAGGCUUCAGAAUCACAUUACUGUUAAUGAUAAUAAAAAGAACAAUCGGCGCGAAACCUCUUGGUUGUCUCUUCCUCUCGCUCCAUAUGGACUGAAUGUAUUAUGCCGCUAUUGUUUUGAAUAUCUUUACAUGUUCGAAUUGCAGUAUUUGCAAUUAAAAUUCACAGUAAAUAUUGUUUUGUGCGUUUAAUGCAGGCGUUGUUUAUUGACAGAAAAGAGCAGAUUAAAGGUAUACAGUGGUGCACCAUCUGGGUUGUAAAGUGCAACUUUCAUGAGAAAAAAGAAAGCUAUUCCCUACGGUAACAUUUGAAGUGCAAAAGUAAUGCAAACAACUUCUAACACUUGGAGUCAGGCUUUAUUUGAUCAAUUCUUAUACUGACAAAACAUUUUUUAGCUUUUGAAAACGGUAUUAUCCAGAUGUAAUCACCUGUACUCGACUUCUAUUAAAUCAAGCAGCUGGAAUCUGUCCAUUUGAAGCUUGCGUUUGCUGAUUUAAAACACUUUUACACCCUCAUGAGCCACAUAUUAAAUCUGGAUACAAUGGCAUUAAAAAACAUCACUUCGACGAGUCAAAUCUUCAGUUUUCAUCCAUAUCAACACAUACUCAAUAGCAAAGCGUUUGCUGGGGUUGUUUACAUGGAGAUCUGACAUUCACGAACAGAUCAUCAGUGACUUUCCCUCCCGACACCACGGAGACGGAGUCGCCGGCUGUCCUUCCUACGUGGCAGGGCUGCGUGGCUUCCCCGGGCUCGUUGGCACCGCAGCUGUCACCCACAGGAUGGGAGAGCGGCGGGGUCGAUGGCUUCGCGGCGUGGCUCCUGGCAGCAGCCGGCCCUUCUCCCGGCCCGGUGAAAGGGGACGAGGAACGAACCCAAUCUCUCGGCGCAUUGAUCGAGGGCCAGCCCUCCAUUAGCCACCGUCGGAGCAAAAGGUCAAGCUAAGGCCAACGGAUGGAUCCUGCGAGCGUCCUACGGAGUGACUCGUUCUCGCAUCCAGGGAGUGAGUCCUUGUCACUCUGGUCUGUGCUACACCCCCCCCCC
This is a long non-coding RNA of Gasterosteus aculeatus aculeatus (three-spined stickleback), 3214 nucleotides long. NCBI's taxonomy places the organism in Eukaryota, Metazoa, Chordata, Actinopteri, Perciformes, Gasterosteidae. The record is from Ensembl.